RNAcentral lists this transfer RNA (77 nucleotides) under Candidatus Sumerlaeota bacterium. RNAcentral describes it as "tRNA-Asp". It matches the Rfam family "tRNA". From Rfam's summary of the family: Transfer RNA (tRNA) molecules are approximately 80 nucleotides in length. Lineage: Bacteria; Candidatus Sumerlaeota. The record is from RNAcentral.
GGGGGCGUAGUUCAGUUGGUUAGAACGUCGGGCUGUCAAUCCGAAGGUCGCGAGUUCGAGACUCGUCGCUCCCGCCA